Molecule: ribosomal RNA, 460 nt
Filed under: uncultured bacterium
Lineage: Bacteria
Description: partial 16S ribosomal RNA
Rfam family: Bacterial small subunit ribosomal RNA
Source: RNAcentral
CCUACGGGAGGCAGCAGUGAGGAAUAUUGGUCAAUGGGCUUACGCCUGAACCAGCCAAGUCGCGUGAGGGAAGACUGCCCUAUGGAUUGUAAACCUCUUUUGUCAGGGAGCAACGCCGGCUACGUGUAGCCGGACUGAGAGUACCUGAAGAAAAAGCAUCGGCUAACUCCGUGCCAGCAGCCGCGGUAAUACGGAGGAUGCGAGCGUUAUCCGUAUUUAUUGGGUUUAAAGGGUGCGUAGGCGGAAUGCCAAGUCAGCGGUAAAAGCGCGGGGCUCAACCUCGCGCCGCCGUUGAAACUGGCGUUCUUGAGUGGGCGAGAAGUAUGCGGAAUGCGUGGUGUAGCGGUGAAAUGCAUAGAUAUCACGCAGAACUCCGAUUGCGAAGGCAGCAUACCGGCGCACAACUGACGCUGAAGCACGAAAGCGUGGGUAUCGAACAGGGUUAGAUACCCUUGUAGUC